UUACUCCUAGGACUAAGAAAGUCUUCAAAUCCCUGCAUAGGACUCUCCGACCAGCAUAGUUUGAGAUCUCAACGCUCAGAUGAGGAGGCGACCUCAAAAGUGGUCCGAGGACUCUCUUCGAACUCGGAUCGAGGAGGAGACUAUCGAGAACCCCAAUCUCCUCAACAACUUUUGCCCCAAUCCUCUCUACCGAAAGAUAUUUUGUAUAAAAAAAGAUCAAAAGGAAUGAAUGAACAAGGAAAGCAACUAAAAUAGAGGAGGAGCUGAAAAGACCAAUCAAAAAAGGGAUUUGCAUGGAGUAAGCUCUCUGGAGAACCAAAAAACUCCAUCA
Molecule: long non-coding RNA, 331 nt
Filed under: Elaeis guineensis (African oil palm)
Lineage: Eukaryota; Viridiplantae; Streptophyta; Magnoliopsida; Arecales; Arecaceae
Description: long non-coding RNA (EGUI_LNC007669)
Source: RNAcentral